GACGAACGCUGGCGGCGUGCCUAAUACAUGCAAGUAGAACGCUGAAGGAGGAGCUUGCUUCUCUGGAUGAGUUGCGAACGGGUGAGUAACGCGUAGGUAACCUGCCUGGUAGCGGGGGAUAACUAUUGGAAACGAUAGCUAAUACCGCAUAAGAGUAGAUGUCGCAUGACAUUUGCUUAAAAGGUGCAAUUGCAUCACUACCAGAUGGACCUGCGUUGUAUUAGCUAGUUGGUGAGGUAACGGCUCACCAAGGCAACGAUACAUAGCCGACCUGAGAGGGUGAGCGGCCACACUGGGACUGAGACACGGCCCAGACUCCUACGGGAGGCAGCAGUAGGGAAUCUUCGGCAAUGGACGGAAGUCUGACCGAGCAACGCCGCGUGAGUGAAGAAGGUUUUCGGAUCGUAAAGCUCUGUUGUAAGAGAAGAACGAGUGUGAGAGUGGAAAGUUCACACUGUGACGGUAUCUUACCAGAAAGGGACGGCUAACUACGUG
This 495-nucleotide ribosomal RNA is filed under the name uncultured bacterium. RNAcentral describes it as "partial 16S ribosomal RNA". It matches the Rfam family "Bacterial small subunit ribosomal RNA", at positions 28 to 507 of the family's 1533-position model. The record is from RNAcentral.